GGAAUAUUGCACAAUGGGGGAAACCCUGAUGCAGCGACGCCGCGUGAGUGAAGAAGUAUUUCGGUAUGUAAAGCUCUAUCAGCAGGGAAGAAGACGACGGUACCUGACUAAGAAGCCCCGGCUAACUACGUGCCAGCAGCCGCGGUAAUACGUAGGGGGCAAGCGUUAUCCGGAUUUACUGGGUGUAAAGGGAGCGCAGACGGCAUGGCAAGUCUGAAGUGAAAACCCGGGGCUCAACCCCGUGAUUGCUUUGGAAACUGUCAGGCUAGAGUACCGGAGGGGUAAGCGGAAUUCCUAGUGUAGCGGUGAAAUGCGUAGAUAUUAGGAGGAACACCGGUGGCGAAGGCGGCUUACUGGACGGUAACUGACGUUGAGGCUCGAAAGCGUGGGGAGCAAACA
RNAcentral lists this ribosomal RNA (399 nucleotides) under uncultured bacterium. Its description in RNAcentral is "bacterial SSU rRNA". It matches the Rfam family "Bacterial small subunit ribosomal RNA", at positions 358 to 774 of the family's 1533-position model. The record is from RNAcentral.